UACAUGGGGUGCAACCGUUGCUCGGAAUUAUUGGGCGUAAAGCGCACGUAGGCGGUCCGUUAAGUCAGAUGUGAAAGCCCCCGGCUCAACCGGGGAAGUGCAUCUGAAACUGGCGGGCUAGAGUACGAAAGAGGGUCGCGGAAUUCCCGGUGUAGAGGUGAAAUUCGUAGAUAUCGGGAGGAACACCGGUGGCGAAGGCGGCGACCUGGGUCGAUACUGACGCUGAGGUGCGAAAGCGUGGGGAGCAAACAGG
This 253-nucleotide ribosomal RNA is filed under the name uncultured bacterium. Its description in RNAcentral is "partial 16S ribosomal RNA". It matches the Rfam family "Bacterial small subunit ribosomal RNA", at positions 524 to 776 of the family's 1533-position model. The record is from RNAcentral.